UAAGACGUAGGAGGCGAGCGUUAUCCGGAAUUACUGGGCGUAAAGGGCGUGUAGGCGGCUCUUCAAGUCUUUGGUGAAAUCUCCCGGCUUAACUGGGAGGGUGCCAGGGAAACUGGAGGGAUUGAGGGCAGCAGAGGGGGGUGGAAUUCCCGGUGUAGUGGUGAUAUGCGUAGAUAUCGGGAGGAACACCAGUGGCGAAGGCGGCCCCCUGGGCUGUUCCUGACGCUGAGGCGCGAAAGCGUGGGGAGCAAACAGGAUUAGAUACCCUGGUAGUCCACGCCGCAAACGAUGGAUACUAGGUAUGGGGGGUAUCGACCCCCUCCGUGCCGAAGCUAACGCCAUAAGUAUCCCGCCUGGGGAGUACGGUCGCAAGACUA
This 377-nucleotide ribosomal RNA is filed under the name uncultured Chloroflexota bacterium. RNAcentral's name for it is "bacterial SSU rRNA". It matches the Rfam family "Bacterial small subunit ribosomal RNA", at positions 521 to 896 of the family's 1533-position model. Lineage: Bacteria; Bacillati; Chloroflexota. The record is from RNAcentral.